UUGAACGCUGGCGGCAUGCCUUACACAUGCAAGUCGCACGGCAGCACGGGUGCUUGCCCCUGGUGGCGAGUGGCGAACGGGUGAGUAAUACAUCGGAACAUGUCCUGUAGUGGGGGAUAGCCCGGCGAAAGCCGGAUUAAUACCGCAUACGAUCUACGGAUGAAAGCGGGGGACCUUCGGGCCUCGCGCUAUAGGGUUGGCCGAUGGCUGAUUAGCUAGUUGGUGGGGUAAAGGCCUACCAAGGCGACGAUCAGUAGCUGGUCUGAGAGGACGACCAGCCACACUGGGACUGAGACACGGCCCAGACUCCUACGGGAGGCAGCAGUGGGGAAUUUUGGACAAUGGGCGAAAGCCUGAUCCAGCAAUGCCGCGUGUGUGAAGAAGGCCUUCGGGUUGUAAAGCACUUUUGUCCGGAAAGAAAUCCUUGGCCCUAAUACGGUCGGGGGAUGACGGUACCGGAAGAAUAAGCACCGGCUAACUACGUG
This 485-nucleotide ribosomal RNA is filed under the name uncultured bacterium. RNAcentral's name for it is "partial 16S ribosomal RNA". It matches the Rfam family "Bacterial small subunit ribosomal RNA", at positions 30 to 507 of the family's 1533-position model. The record is from RNAcentral.